Molecule: ribosomal RNA, 424 nt
Filed under: uncultured Planctomycetaceae bacterium
Lineage: Bacteria; Pseudomonadati; Planctomycetota; Planctomycetia; Planctomycetales; Planctomycetaceae
Description: bacterial SSU rRNA
Rfam family: Bacterial small subunit ribosomal RNA
Source: RNAcentral
AGUCGAGAAUUUUUGGCAAUGGGGGAAACCCUGACCAAGCGAUGCCGCGUGCGGGAUGAAGGUCUUCGGAUUGUAAACCGCUGUCAGUGGGGAGAAAAGGAUAGUGAGUUCUCUCAUUAUUUUGAUCUAUCCGCAGAGGAAGUGUGGGCUAAGCUCGUGCCAGCAGCCGCGGUAAGACGAGCCACACAAACGUUAUUCGGAAUUACUGGGCUUAAAGGGUGCGUAGGCUGCGCGGAAAGUUGGGUGUGAAAUACCUCGGCUCAACCGAGGAACUGCGCCCAAAACUACCGUGCUCGAGGAAGAUAGAGGUGAGCGGAACUUACGGUGGAGCGGUGAAAUGCGUUGAUAUCGUAAGGAACACCCGUGGCGAAAGCGGCUCACUGGGUCUUUUCUGACGCUGAUGCACGAAAGCUAGGGGAGCAAA